UUUCCGUAGGUGAACCUGCGGAAGGACCAUUAAAGAGAAUAUGCCCUUCGGGGUAGAUCUCCCACCCUUUGUUUAUAUUACCUUUGUUGCUUUGGCAGGCCCGUCUUCGGACCACCGGCUUCGGCUGGUCAGUGCUUGCCAGAGGACCCAAAACUCUUAUUAUUAAUGUCGUCUGAGUACUAUAUAAUAGUUAAAACUUUCAACAACGGAUCUCUUGGUUCUG
Molecule: unclassified non-coding RNA, 223 nt
Filed under: plant metagenome
Description: partial contains small subunit ribosomal RNA, internal transcribed spacer 1, and 5.8S ribosomal RNA
Source: RNAcentral